This 5652-nucleotide long non-coding RNA is filed under the name Cricetulus griseus (Chinese hamster). RNAcentral's name for it is "lncRNA (ENSCGRG00015033954.1)". The record is from RNAcentral. Lineage: Eukaryota; Metazoa; Chordata; Mammalia; Rodentia; Cricetidae.
GUAUGCAGCAUAUAGCUGUAGCAUAUAUGACAUGCACCAAUAGUUUGCUCCUUUGAGAACCAUAGCUAUAUUUUCUACACAUUGAAAUAGUUAACAUUGUCUACAGAAGUUUCAAGCCCUUUCCACCUCUCAGCUGCGAAUAGAAGUGAUAACCCCUCCCUCUAAGAAAUGCAAAGAACAUGCCCUCGCCAAUCGGAAGACUUAACAGAAACACUGUGAGAGAGAGGUGAGAAGUUCUAGACCUGGGAGAAGCUAUUUAGGUCCCUCAAGAGCCCCACAUAAGGAACUGCAGAGUGAGCCUAGCCAGAAAGAUGCUCAGUUUUAAACUGCUUGGAUGAGAAUGCAGUGGCUGUUACAUGUUUUCAUUCGGUUAAUAUUCAGAGAUACAUCUCUAACAAAUGCUUCAUGUGGAGGAAAGAGCUCAAAGCUGGAAGGCGCUCUUCAGAUUAUAAGUGGUUACAAAUGAUAUCAAGCAGGAGAGAAAGAGGAACAUUAAAAAUAAAAAAUUAAAAAUUAACUGUUAAGGUAUCAUUCCAACCUGUUGACAUUCUGGUGGAAUCAAGUCACCCAAAAACUACAAUCAAUGUCACAGAUAAAGAAAGCCUCACGUGUGUUUCUAACCAGCCAACUAUUGCUGAUUUAUUUUUCUCAUUUAACUACUGGACUGUAUUUAAUUGUGGAACAUGUUCAUAUAGUCUGUGUUCUGGGUUAGGUUUAACCCUAUCUGUGAGGGUGUGAUUAUACCAAAGGCUUCCAUUGGUAGACUAGCCCAUUCACCCAAAUAAGUGAAGUCAACACUGUGCCCAGAUGAAUGGUAUUAAAGACAGACUUGCCUAAAAGAAAUGUGCCUUGCUUGAUGAAACAUUCUUUUAUUUUUGAUUCAAAAUGAUAGGUUAACAAAUUAGAUUUUAGGUAGGUUUUAGUUUACCUUAAUUUUACAAAAAGUAUAUUAGUACUUAUUCUGUUUAAAUUGUCUGUGUUAACUAAAAUUAUAAUAUUUAGUUAUACUUAGGCAAUUCAUAUAUAUCAAAUUCUAUUUUAUUUUCACAGGAUAUUUGGUACGGUGAGACAAAGUACAUUCUUAAAGAUAUAUAUAAUAUCUCAUCUGAUAUUUAUAGCUUUUCCUUCAAAAUUAUAUGUGUAUAAGAUUCUUUGACUCAUUUUCUAUUUUUAUAUUCUUUUAGAAUGGAACUCUCUUUCAAUUAAAAAGGGGCAAAUUUUUAAUUGGAAAAGAGACUUGGGAGGUCAUAAAGAUGGCAUCCCAUUUGGGAACAUUUAACUUCUGUGCCAUUAUUGUAUUUACUGUGACAUCUCAGCAGAAUGGUAGCUAUUUGUAUAUUAUUUCAUAAGCCUUAUGGAAAGUCAGACUGUGAACAUUUAUUAUGUACACUUCGUUAUUCAUUUCCAUAGUUUGUCAAAAUAUUCCUGAACAAGUGCAAAAAAAAAUGAGUAUUUUCAGAACUUUAAUAUAAAAGUAUAUCGGUCUCAAAGCCAGGAUUAUAAGUUUUCUGAUGACCUAAAAAAAUUCAAAUGAUGAAUUUCAUUAAUCUAUAAGAAUCUUAACUAAACAGCUAUUUACCUAGUAGCUUCCAAACAGGUAGAAUGCAAUCCAGGUAACUUUCUUUGAGGCAAUGUCUAAAAUGAAUUUUUAAUAAUCUCCUGGUAAUUUCUUUAUGAUCAAAAUAUAUCACUACCAUUUUAGUGAAGAAAAAGGGAUGACAACUAUCUUUGAUUUGAGUGAUGUGAGCCUCCAAUAGAAAUGGUUGUGACUGAAGUGAAAAUAUAGCCACCACCUUGUUUUUGUUAGUGUUCGCUCAUAUAGUAGAGAUAAUGGCACAGGGAAUAGUGAGCUCUUUGCAAUCAUCUGAAUCCUCAGAAAUGAUGGUCACAGCCCCAUUAACAGUAAAGCAAUCCUAGUGGAUGGAAACAAACCAGGGGUUCUUAAAUGUUCAGAUAUUUUUGUAAGGAUCAGUAGGUGUUGCAAAAUUAUACACGAACUACCUUCAUACAAUGACACAACUUUAAGCAACGUAAUAUAUGUAAUAGUAUAUCUGUUUUAUUAUUAUAGGCUACAGUUAGAAUAAAGGCAAAACCUGGACUUUCAACCACACACACACCAAAGAAAAGCACAGAACCGUAUCAGAUGCAUAACAUACCAAAACAUUCACAUGAUGACUGGUAAAAAUAACAUGAUUUUAGAUAACAGGAUACUGGCAUUCUUACCCACCGCCUGCCUCUGGGACCCCCAGGUAAGUCAUCACCAUUGCUAGGCUUUAGUUUCUUGAAUUGCAGAGUGGGCAUGCCAGGCCCAGCAAACUCAAAAGCCCUUUCCAGCUACCAAAUCCUGUUAUACACAUUUCUUUAAAAUGCUUUGAAGAAUACUUACAUACUAAGAUUUUUAUGCAUUUCUAAAGAAUAAAAUGAAAUAAGAUUUAAGCCUUGAAAGUCUCAUGAAUAUAUCUCAUUCUUCAAAUUGUGAGAAGAGGAAAUAGGAUUCCUUCUCCUUUAAGAUUUCACUCAUCUAUAAUAGGAUCAUGAAAAAUGAGGUGGGGGUGGGGCAUCCCUCUGCAGAAGGGAAGCAGUUAAUGAAAUAGCUAACAAGACGGGGCAGGUAUUGGUAACAUUAAUUGGAUGUAAAUGUGAUUUGCACAGAGUACAUGAAAUGCUGAAAUGACCCCAGGACUUGAUUGCACAUUAUGAGACUAAUGGUAGGAAGGGAUGGGAAAGACUGGAGAACAGAAGUGUUUGCCUUAUUGUCUUUUUAUUCAUUUUACUCAUGGUUAGGUGGGGAGCUGCAUUGCAGUGCUGGAUCUGCCAGUCACUCGUUUGCACCAGGAAAGUCCCUUUAACUUCUCAGAACUCCAGUUUCUUAAUCUGUAAAGUGAAGGGUUUAAAUUUGAAUUUAGUCAUCUGCAUAUUUCUUUUCAUCUUCUAAUAUUCUGUAUCAUUUCAGAUUCUUAAAAUAUAUGCAUAUAUGGUACAUAUUGUUGAUCCCUCCAUUAGACACUAUGAUGCCACAUAGUUCUCAAGUACCUGAAUAGAUUAUGAACUCAAGCAUGUAUAUUCCUAAUACUGCUCUUUGACCUCCACAAGACCUCAAAUACUUAGACCUCAAUCUCAUUCAGAUGUGGCUGAAUUAUUAAAACUUGUCACUUCAUCUUUUCAUGUUGAGUUCAUUCCCUAAACAAAUGCCUUCUCAAGUUACUCUCCAUAACUUGUUGUAAUUUAAUACUCAAAUAUAUUGGCAUACCAAUGAACUAUAGCUGACUGUAGGAUACAAUUUUGUCACAUUCAAAUGCCCUUUUGGUCCUAGAAGCUAUUAACUGUAACAUAAAAGAACAUUCAUAAAAUUUUGUCACAUUUAAUUGCCCUUUUGGUCCUAGAAGCUAUUAACUGUAACAUAAAAGAACAUUCAUAAAAUUUUGUGAAUUUUUUAAUACAAAGGAGGCCCGAUGGAGCCAUACUGUAAUUAGUUUUGCUCAGGAGUGAGAAAAACAUUCAGGGAUAACCCAAACACUUCUGUUUGGCAUUAGUGGACACUUGGUAAAAGAAGGGUUAUAUCUUUUGCACAAUAAAGAUAACAGGUAAUAAUACCCAUUAAAAAUGGGAGUAUUUCUGGUGGCUGGCUUUAGUAUAGGAAGAGAUAGGUUAGAAGAAUGCCAGAAUUGGACACUAGAAAAGUUAUUAAAAUGGUAGCGGUCCAUCGAAUAACAGAACUAUUUUGUCAUACUGAGAUUAUUUGUCCAGAAAGUUAGUCUUAUAUCCCUUCCAUUCAGAAAAGGGGGCAGAUUUCAAAUGCCUCUGUCAUAAUAGGAAAUGUAUAUUUUGACUAGUGGAGCAAUUAGCUAAAGCAUUUAAUCUGAUAAUUUUAGUUUUGUGGAUCUGAAUUUUCAUCUUAGGUGUAAUUUAGUCUCUUGCAUAUGUGAUAGUGUCUGUGAUCGUGAGGAAUGAUUUCAUCACUUUUGUUUUUCUUUUAAGUUGAUAAAAUGUGCUAAGUGGUGAUUCCAGCAUACUGUGUUAAUACUGUAUCCUACAACCACUUGUGAACUGACCACAUUAAACAAACCAUAGUGUUUCUCUUCUCGUAAAUCGUUUCUAUGGUGUGAUUGUUUCAUGCUGGGGAUGGGGGUGGGGGAGGUUAAAUAUUUAGUUUACUUAAAAUGUCAAGAUGUUAUUCUUAAAUGCCAUAAAAUUGUGUGACAAUAAACCAAAUAGAAUAUCCUCUUUUUCAGAUGUGAGAGAACUGUAUAGACUACUUUGGGGACUAGCCCAUAAAUGCUGUCAUUUGUGUUUUUAAAAAGCUUAUAUAUUAUAUAUGUAACAUACAAUAUAUACCACAUACAAAGGAAAGCAAGCAGUGUAUGUAGUGUUUCUUGGAAUCUACAUGUGUUUAUUUACAUAGAAUACUUAUGCAUUGCAAAGACCAUCAACAUAGUCUAUUUAGUUUCUAAAACACUCUCCACAUAAAUUACUGAUUACAUUUGGAGUUUGGAGAUAGGACAAUUAAGGUUUUAAAGAAUAAAAUGACUUAUCAUAGAUCAUGUCCCUGUCCGUGGCUCUAAAUAUCAUUCUCUUUACACUUUUCAUGCUGGCAUGUUGUCUGUUCUCUGUCACUGCCAUUCUAUUUCAAACUGAAACAUCAAAAAAUGUGUUGACAUUUUAAGGUUUUAGUGAAAAGGAGUCAUUGGGAUUGUGUUAGACCUUCUUAGAUAACUUCCAAACUGCAUCUACCUUCAUGAAAUACCCAAAGGUUUUAAUAUUUAAUAAAUUAAUAUUAAGUCCCUGCACCCUAAUCAUACACCCAUUCGUUCAUUCAUUUAUUGCCAUCAUGCAAAACUAUAAAAUGUUCUUCAUAUAUCUUUCACUUGCUUUAUUAGAAGCCCAUCAUAACAACUAAUUUCUGAACAGUUUUCUAUAAAGCAACUGGAGCCAUGCUGAUUCAGUGGCACAGCAGUCAUUUUUUUUAGCCUUUUGUUUUUGUAUGAGUGGGAGAAGACAGAAGGGGGUGUGUAUAUUUUAAAGAAACUCUUCAUUUCCAGUAACUUUAUGGAAAUACUGGAUUACUAUGUCGUAGGUAGCAGUUUGUUAACGUUAGACAUAGGUCAAAUUCCAGUAAGCUUUUCACUCAUUUAGUAGUGUACUUAAGGAUUUCCCCAAGUUAUGUUACAACCCAAUGACUUCUCAGUUUGAAUAUGAAGAACAGUCAUGUUGCAAUCCAUGACAGGUACUACACUUUUUUGUUCUCAAACAUCAGGUAGCCACUGGUACUGCUUUCCCUUGUAAAUCAAUAGUCUGUGAUAUGUUUUGUACUUCUCCGUGCAAUGCAGUGUUAACUGUGAAUAUUUAAGUGAAAUGUGCUUAUUAUACUGGCACUUAAUAUUUCCUAACACUUACUUCAGUUUUCCCCAUCAAAUAGGUAAGUCAAUCAAGUAUUAUUUUGUAUGAAAUGAAGUAAUAAUUAUUCUUAAAAACAAUAGUAUUCUAACUACAAUGUCAAAUCAAACAUGCAUUUUAUAUUUUUAUAUUCUUUUUUCUUUUGACAUUGAGUUAGGUCAAUUUACCAUGUAGUAAUAUAAAGGUAGAUUCUUAUACCAUGAUAUCUGCUUAAUUUGAGGCCUUUUGUUAAGUAAAUACCUAUGAGUUUUGAUUGUG